AGGCCCAGCGUGACCUUGAAAUCCCCUGCCCAAGAUGCGGGGAAUCUGAGGUAAAAUUACGAUCCCAGGCCACGAAUGCAGGCCUCCAAAAAGGGGAGACUGGCAAGGAACUGCAGGGGAGUGGCCGAGGAGCAGAUGGGGAGCUGCCAUCGACGUCCAAGCGUCAAUCCCAAGAUGGCGAAGGACAACCUCCCAAGAGACGCCGGCCGGAGAACGGAGGUGCGUCGGAGACGGACGAGGACGGGCGGACAGCGUUGCAUGAUGCAGCA
This is a long non-coding RNA of Uloborus diversus, 269 nucleotides long. RefSeq lists it as uncharacterized. The record is from RefSeq and is a predicted model, not a curated record. NCBI's taxonomy places the organism in Eukaryota, Metazoa, Arthropoda, Arachnida, Araneae, Uloboridae. The transcript is spliced from 3 exons.